AAUGGGGGCAACCCUGAUCCAGCAAUGCCGCGUGUGUGAAGAAGGCCUUCGGGUUGUAAAGCACUUUUAUCGGGAACGAAACAUUGUCGGUGAAUAUCCGGCAAGACUGACGGUACCCGAGGAAUAAGCACCGGCUAACUUCGUGCCAGCAGCCGCGGUAAUACGAAGGGUGCAAGCGUUACUCGGAAUUACUGGGCGUAAAGGGUGCGUAGGUGGUUUGUUAAGUCUGCUGUGAAAUCCCCGGGCUCAACCUGGGAAUGGCAGUGGAUACUGGCAAGCUGGAGUGCGGUAGAGGGUAGUGGAAUUUCCCGGUGUAGCAGUGAAAUGCGUAGAGAUCGGGAGGAACACCAGUGGCGAAGGCGGCGUACUCUGAGCCAGAUACUGAC
RNAcentral lists this ribosomal RNA (386 nucleotides) under uncultured bacterium. RNAcentral's name for it is "bacterial SSU rRNA". It matches the Rfam family "Bacterial small subunit ribosomal RNA", at positions 370 to 744 of the family's 1533-position model. The record is from RNAcentral.